RNAcentral lists this ribosomal RNA (252 nucleotides) under uncultured bacterium. Its description in RNAcentral is "partial 16S ribosomal RNA". It matches the Rfam family "Bacterial small subunit ribosomal RNA", at positions 524 to 776 of the family's 1533-position model. The record is from RNAcentral.
UACGGAGGAUGCGAGCGUUAUCCGGAUUUAUUGGGUUUAAAGGGUGCGCAGGCGGCGUGUCAAGUCAGCGGUAAAAUGUCGGGGCUCAACCCCGGCCGGCCGUUGAAACUGGCGUGCUCGAGUUGGAGAGAAGUAUGCGGAAUUCGUGGUGUAGCGGUGAAAUGCAUAGAUAUCACGAAGAACCCCGAUUGCGAAGGCAGCAUACCGGCUCCACACUGACGCUGAGGCACGAAAGCGUGGGUAUCGAGCAGG